GGGGAAUAUUGCACAAUGGGGGAAACCCUGAUGCAGCGACGCCGCGUGAAGGAUGAAGUAUUUCGGUAUGUAAACUUCUAUCAGCAGGGAAGAAAAUGACGGUACCUGACUAAGAAGCCCCGGCUAACUACGUGCCAGCAGCCGCGGUAAUACGUAGGGGGCAAGCGUUAUCCGGAUUUACUGGGUGUAAAGGGAGCGUAGACGGCUGUGCAAGCCAGAUGUGAAAACCCGGGGCUCAACCCCGUGACUGCAUUUGGAACUGUGCGGCUAGAGUGUCGGAGAGGUAAGUGGAAUUCCUAGUGUAGCGGUGAAAUGCGUAGAUAUUAGGAGGAACACCAGUGGCGAAGGCGGCUUACUGGACGAUGACUGACGUUGAGGCUCGAAAGCGUGGGGAGCAAAC
This 400-nucleotide ribosomal RNA is filed under the name uncultured bacterium. Its description in RNAcentral is "bacterial SSU rRNA". It matches the Rfam family "Bacterial small subunit ribosomal RNA", at positions 356 to 773 of the family's 1533-position model. The record is from RNAcentral.